GGUUUUAUAGUCAUUAAUGAUAUUAGACUGCAAUUCUAAAGGAGUAAUUUAAAUUACUAAAACUU
This 65-nucleotide transfer RNA is filed under the name Exechia fusca. RNAcentral's name for it is "tRNA-Cys". Lineage: Eukaryota; Metazoa; Arthropoda; Insecta; Diptera; Mycetophilidae. The record is from RNAcentral.